Grammomys surdaster is the source of this 699-nucleotide long non-coding RNA. RefSeq lists it as uncharacterized. The record is from RefSeq and is a predicted model, not a curated record. The transcript has 5 exons. Lineage: Eukaryota; Metazoa; Chordata; Mammalia; Rodentia; Muridae.
CCCGCAUCCGUGUGGCGCGCGUUCCGCACGCCAAGGCUGUUCUCACUGGAUCUUUCUGUGUGGGUGGAGAAACGUGCGUGCGCCCCUCCGCGUCCUGCUGAUCCUCAGGUAUCUGUUGAUAAUCAUCUACAUUGUUUUGGGCCAUUACUAAAAAAUCUACUAUGGAUAUUCAUGUGCAGGUUUACCAUAUGGUGUAUCCAUUCAUUAUCAUGCAUAAAUUCUAGAUGUGGACUGGCCUGAUCAUAACGCAUUAUUUUUAAAGGGCAUUUCAAGGUAGCAGGCCUUGUAUUUAAGCAUUUAAUCCAUUCAGACUUGAGUUUUGUACCUGGCGGGAGACAGGCAGUGCUGUUUGAAAUGUCAAGUGAUAGAGUCCACCUGUUUAUUCAUACAUCAAACACUCUCCGAGCUGUGUUUCCUGUCGGUUCUUGUGCUUCUGUCUAAGGAUAAUGAAACCAAAGAAUCAGUCUAAGGGGGAAAGACUGAGAAAGAAAUGCUUUGAAGGUUCCUGCCCCCUUCCUCACCCUAGCUUAUGCUGUGUGACUGAGCACAAAACCAAGCCACUUUCUCCAGAGGGAGAUGAGGAGAUAGAGAAGCUUGGUCUUUGAGUGUUGGGAGCUGACUCCGAGCAGAAAGCGGCUAUCAUCUUUGCAGCCAUCUCGAGCCAUAUACCCUGACAAGAGACUUGUUUUCAACAGCCCA